Molecule: ribosomal RNA, 577 nt
Filed under: uncultured eukaryote
Lineage: Eukaryota
Description: bacterial SSU rRNA
Rfam family: Eukaryotic small subunit ribosomal RNA
Source: RNAcentral
CCCGACCGUAAACGAUGCCGACCGAGGGCCCGGAGGAGUUACGUACGACCCUCCGGGCCCUCCCGCGAGAAAUCAGGAGUAUUCGGGUUCCGGGGGAGUAUGGUCGCAAGGCCGAAACUUAAAGGAAUUGACGGAAGGGCACCACCAGGAGUGGAAUCUGCGGCUUAAUUUGACCCAACGCGGGAAAACUCACCAGGUCAGGACACGGUAAGGAUUGACGGACUGAAGGCUCUUUCUCGAUUCCGUGGAAAGUGGUGCAUGGCCGUUUUUGGUUGGUGGAUCGAUCCGUCUGGUUAAUUCCGUUAACGAACGAGACCUCGGCACUCCGAAUAGCGCGGCGGACGUCGCGGCCUCCGGGCCGUCUUCCGCACGAGCUUCUUAGAGGGACCGUCCCCCGCCGGGGAAGGAGGUGCGAGGCAACGACAGGUCUGUGAUGCCCUUAGAUGUUCUGGGCCGCACGCGCAUUACACUGACGCGUCCAACGGGUGACUCCCGACCCGAAGGGGCCGGGGAAUCCGCAAGGCGCGUCGUGAUGGGGAUUGAACGUUGCAAUUGUUGUUCACGAACGAGGAAUUCC